AGGAGGAACAACCGCAGUGGCGGGGCCAGCUCUGGAUCCCUGGAGUCAGCCCCCGCAGGAACUCUGGAGCUCUCGGUCUGCAGGGCCUGGAGGCUCCGGGCGAGG
This is a non-coding RNA of Canis lupus familiaris (dog), 105 nucleotides long. Lineage: Eukaryota; Metazoa; Chordata; Mammalia; Carnivora; Canidae. The record is from Rfam.